AUUUCAUUAAUAGAAGAUUUUAAAGCAACUGCACCCUGGUGCCACCUAAGUAAACUAGGAGUACAGAAGAUUAACUACCUUCAUUGAAGAAAAGGACAAACAUAAAAUAAGUGGAAAAAGAAAUCAUGAAUUACAACUUUUCUUGAGAAUUAUAAAAUCAUAAUGUUGCAGAAUUGUUUUCCAUGUAAGCUAAUGGAGUGAUAUCCUGAGAGAGUUGUCGAUCCCAUGAGCAUUGGAAUUAAGUACCAAAAGCACAUGCUAAUCCUACUAUUAUUUAGACUACUUAAAUAAUAGGAUAACUAAUUAACUAAUAAAAAAUAAAAUAAAUUACAA
RNAcentral lists this unclassified non-coding RNA (333 nucleotides) under Hevea brasiliensis (rubber tree). The record is from RNAcentral. Lineage: Eukaryota; Viridiplantae; Streptophyta; Magnoliopsida; Malpighiales; Euphorbiaceae.